RNAcentral lists this ribosomal RNA (440 nucleotides) under uncultured bacterium. Its description in RNAcentral is "partial 16S ribosomal RNA". It matches the Rfam family "Bacterial small subunit ribosomal RNA", at positions 338 to 795 of the family's 1533-position model. The record is from RNAcentral.
CCUACGGGAGGCAGCAGUGGGGGAUAUUGCACAAUGGGGGAAACCCUGAUGCAGCGACGCCGCGUGUGGGAAGACGGUCCUCUGGAUUGUAAACCACUUUCCCCAGGGACUAAGAUGACGGUACCUUGGGAGUAAGCUCCGGCUAACUACGUGCCAGAAGACUCGGUAAUACGUAGGGAGCGAGCUUUGUCCGGAAUUACUGGGUGUAAAGGGAGCGUAGGCGGGACUGCAAGUUGGGGGUAAAAUCUACCGGCUCAACGGGAAGCCUCCCUCAAAACUGCAGUUCUUGAGUGAAGUAGAGGCAGGCGGAAUUCCUAGUGUAGCGGUGAAAUGCGUAGAUAUUAGGAGGAAAACCAGUGGCGAAGGCGGCCUGCUGGGCUUCUACUGACGCUGAGGCUCGAAAGUGUGGGGAGCAAACAGGAUUAGAUACCCGGGUAGUC